AAGUCGUAACAAGGUUUCCGUAGGUGAACCUGCGGAAGGAUCAUUUCUGUUCCAACCUUUUUCUUCCCUUUCUGGCUUCAUUCUCCCUUGUAAUAGAGGGGGUUUAGAGUUGGAGAAGGAGAAAAAUAGAGAUUGUGUGGUUUAAAUGCUUUCUACGUGGGAUUCUGCCUUUCUAUUCUUCUGCUUUGAACCUCCUAAUCCUUCUGAUUCGUCGGAAGGAAAUAGGUGGGGAAUAAGUAUGGGAAAUAAAGGGGUAGGUUCCAUAUAGAAACUCCAUUUUUCAUAUAUAAAAAAAUCACGAUGAUUACUAUUGUAACCAACCGAGAGCAAGGUGUUUUUUUUCUGAUCUCUUGAAAAAGGGAAUAGGGGAAAAUGCUUUGAAUUUCACAAAUAUAAACGACAUACAACUGUCAACGGUGGAUCUCUUGGCUCGU
RNAcentral lists this unclassified non-coding RNA (434 nucleotides) under fungal sp. RNAcentral describes it as "partial internal transcribed spacer region". The stretch from base 1 to 46 matches the Rfam family "Eukaryotic small subunit ribosomal RNA", at positions 1786 to 1831 of the family's 1831-position model. Lineage: Eukaryota; Fungi. The record is from RNAcentral.